Alligator mississippiensis (American alligator) is the source of this 1755-nucleotide long non-coding RNA. RefSeq lists it as uncharacterized. Lineage: Eukaryota; Metazoa; Chordata; Crocodylia; Alligatoridae. The record is from RefSeq and is a predicted model, not a curated record. The transcript is spliced from 4 exons.
AGCAUCAUAGCUCUUAACUUAUUUGACUAUUUGAUUACUGUAACUUUUAAAAAAAUGAAACAUCUAGGAAUUAAGAACUGUAAAGUAAUAGGUAGUGUGUUAUUUUAUCAUCUCAGGUUCAAGCAGGACAGUUUCAGGAAAGUAUGACUUGAGAGAGGCAGCCAGACAGACAAUCCAAAUGCUUCAGUUGGCAGGAUGAAGUGAUAUGCUAAUGUAAGAGAAAAGAGCCCUUGCUUUCUGUAAGUGCCUUGGUUGCAUCCCAAGAAGGAAAGCUGCUGCGUCAUUGAACCAGUUCGUCUCCAGUGUGCCACCCUGCCCAGAUUUCUUCCAAGGAAGGAGUAGUGGAUGUGAUCUCUGCAAAAAGAAAGCUUGUCUGGUUGAUCCUGACGGUAAAACAAGCGUACCCGUUAAGAUGACUGCGGGGAAAGUAUCCUGUUUUCAUCUACGCAGCCUGGCUUUUCAUUCACAGGUACAAGUAACUCUCCCCAAGGAACCAGAUGAGCCGUGCCAGUCCAUCCUGCCUGCUGACUGGGUUCAUGUAAAAGUCCAUCAACGGAAGUCAUCGGUGGGACCCCGCUGGAAAGGCCCAUUCCAGGGACUCCUGACAGCCAACACUGCAAUAAAGUGUCAAGGACUCCAACCGUGGAUCCAUGCUUCACACACUAAGAAAACAUCAGCCCUGCUAGACUUAGAGUCUCCUCCAUAUCAACCUUGUAAUCAGCCUCCACAGACCGGUAGUGAGCCUAGCGCCUGCCAACAAGAGAGCUCAAGACCAGUAGUGAGCCAAGCGCCUACUGGCGAAGAGGAUUUGCCACUACAAAGCGAAGAGGAUUUACCACUACAGAACGAAGAAAAUGUACCCCAACGACACCACUAUGCCCUUCGGGAAAGGAAAAAGGCCUCUGCCUAGUUCCUGGUUCCCGAGGUGGGGUUGGUUAGUCGUGACUUGGGUACGUCUCAGUCUUUCCUUUUGGAUCCUCUUAUAUGAACUUAAAGACUCAGCAGCUAAAAGAAACUUUGUAAAUCAGACUAGACUUCAAAACAGGUCAAAAAGAUCACUCCCACACUGGCAUGCUCACCAAAAUGCUUGUCUUCAACUGUCAUAUCAAUAUGGAAAGGAUUUAAAUGUUUCUAAAUAUUGGGCAUGUCCCCACUUGCCUCCUAGUACAAUGACAGGGGUGCCCAUGAUUGCUUUCUCCCUUAAUUGGACGACUUCUGUGAUACGUAUGUUAAAAUAAUGAAAAGGUAAAAAGAAAGAAAAAUUAGAAGUUAAAAAGCUCUUGGCUAUAAAUAUCUAAUAUGUUGGGCCAAAAAGGCCCAAAAGCGGGGAAAGUGGAAAUAAGUUUCACCAGGCCUCUUACUUGACUAAGAAGAGAGAGAAAGAGAAGAAAAAAGGUGCCGAUGUUGAUGCUAUGUGUUUUAACAUGUUCUAAGAUAAGGAGAAACCUUCAUGCCCUGUUUUGUCUGUGUGCAGAUGUUAACCUCCUCCUUUCCGCCGAACCAGAAGCUGAGAACUGUUCCCAAAACAUAGUGUUUUUUUCUAAAUAAGUAAACUGCUUACGUGUGACAAACGAAUGAUCACCAUCUUUCUGUUUCUCCCCAGGUUGCUUUGUCUGAACCCUGCAUGUUUCCUCGCUGUCUAAAGUAUAAAUACGCUUGUAAAUUUGUAGAGGUCAGAGUUCCUUUGAGAACUCUCCCUGUGAUCACUGGUAUAGUUUUAAAUAAACCUAGAUGGCUCUGCCAAGUCUAAUACAA